Molecule: non-coding RNA, 21 nt
Filed under: Arabidopsis thaliana (thale cress)
Lineage: Eukaryota; Viridiplantae; Streptophyta; Magnoliopsida; Brassicales; Brassicaceae
Source: RNAcentral
UAUAAGUAAAUGAAUAGUGCC